CGGUUAAGAGACUUUCAGCAGUGAGGAAGGUAGUGUAGUUAAUAGCUGCAUUAUUUGACGUUUAGCUGCAGAAGAAGCACCGGCUAACUCCGUGCCAGCAGCCGCGGUAAUACGGAGGGUGCGAGCGUUAAUCGGAAUUACUGGGCGUAAAGCGCAUGCAGGUGGUUUGUUAAGUCAGAUGUGAAAGCCCGGGGCGUCAACCUCGGAAUAGCAUUUGAAACUGGCAGACUAGAGUACUGUAGAGGGGGGUAGGAAUUUCAGGUGUAGCGGUGAAAUGCGUAGAGAUCUGAAGGAAUACCGGUGGCGAAGGCGGCCCCCUGGACAGAUACUGACACUCAGAUGCGAAAGCGUGGGGAGCAAACAGGAUUAGAUACCCUGGUAG
This 382-nucleotide ribosomal RNA is filed under the name uncultured bacterium. RNAcentral's name for it is "bacterial SSU rRNA". It matches the Rfam family "Bacterial small subunit ribosomal RNA", at positions 422 to 793 of the family's 1533-position model. The record is from RNAcentral.